Molecule: ribosomal RNA, 327 nt
Filed under: uncultured Chlorobiota bacterium
Lineage: Bacteria; Pseudomonadati; Chlorobiota
Description: bacterial SSU rRNA
Rfam family: Bacterial small subunit ribosomal RNA
Source: RNAcentral
GACGAACGCUGGCGGCGUGCCUAACACAUGCAAGUCAACGAGAAAGGGGUAGCAAUAUCCCGAGUAAAGUGGCGCACGGGUGAGUAACACGUAGGCAAUCUGCCUUCAGGACGGGGACAACCUCGAGAAAUCGAGGCUAAUACCCGAUGAUGCGAUGGUACCGCAUGGUACUAUUGUUAAAGGUUUUCGAACGCCUGGAGAUGAGCCUGCGCCCCAUUAGGUAGUUGGUGAGGUAACGGCUCACCAAGCCUGCGAUGGGUAGCUGGUCUGAGAGGAUGACCAGUCACACUGGAACUGAGACACGGUCCAGACUCCUACGGGAGGCUG